AUACGGAGGAUGCGAGCGUUAUCCGGAUUUAUUGGGUUUAAAGGGAGCGUAGGUGGGAUAUUAAGUCAGCUGUGAAAGUUUGGGGCUCAACCUUAAAAUUGCAGUUGAUACUGGUUUCCUUGAGUACGGUACAGGUGGGCGGAAUUCGUGGUGUAGCGGUGAAAUGCUUAGAUAUCACGAAGAACUCCGAUCGCGAAGGCAGCUCACUGGGCCGGAACUGACACUGAUGCUCGAAAGUGCGGGUAUCAAACAGGAUUAGAUACCCUGGUAGUCCGCACAGUAAACGAUGAAUACUCGCUGUUUGCGAUACACUGUAAGCGGCCAAGCGAAAGCGUUAAGUAUUCCACCUGGGGAGUACGCCGGCAACGGUGAAACUCAAAUGAAUUGACGGGG
This 393-nucleotide ribosomal RNA is filed under the name uncultured bacterium. Its description in RNAcentral is "partial 16S ribosomal RNA". It matches the Rfam family "Bacterial small subunit ribosomal RNA", at positions 523 to 918 of the family's 1533-position model. The record is from RNAcentral.